CUUGGUCAUUUAGAGGAAGUAAUCUUUGACGUUCUAUCUCCAUCGUCCUCGGGACGUUAAGGCGCUCUGGUCGAGGAUAAACGACCCCUCUGACCGAGGUUAAACGGUCGCCAGUCUGUGUUACCUCCUCGGAGGCACACGUUAAAGAUCGUUCCGCGUUGUGAGUACUAACACCAGUUGUAAACUUUACAACCGGCAGCGCUGGAUCCCUUGGCACGUCGCCCGAUGAAGACCGUUGCAAAUUGCGAUAAAGUGAUGUGAUGCGCAAGUCCACCACUUAUACGUGCCUCAUCGAGUUCAGGAACGCAUUGCAUUGCGCCCUAAACCGGCUGCGGUAUGCCCCUUUGAGCGUCAUUGUAUUCCUUCGGGAGUCUUUCCUUGCGGAAAGACCCGAGCUCGGAGUCCUCGGUCCUUUGGAUCGUGUUCUCUCAGAUGCGUCGCGCCGAUCGCCUGAUGGGUACUCUAAUGCCUGAGCGUGGAGUCCCUUCAGUUCGAGACGCGCUUGACCGGCCGUUGGGCUCGCGUCACCAAGUCCGCGUGGGGUAGGACAACCCGCUAGACUUAAGCAUAUCAAUAAGCGGAGGA
This 585-nucleotide ribosomal RNA is filed under the name uncultured fungus. RNAcentral describes it as "eukaryotic LSU rRNA". The stretch from base 191 to 354 matches the Rfam family "5.8S ribosomal RNA". The record is from RNAcentral. Lineage: Eukaryota; Fungi.